UUUUUCACAUUUUUUUAAUUCUGAUUUUAUUUUCUUUUAUUUCUUUUAAUUCCAUUUCAUUUUAAAAAUUCAUAUCUCCUUCAUUAUUGGUCCAAAAAAUAUGAGACCAAUUUCAUUUUUCUUCUUUUAAUUUCUAGUUUCUAAAAAUGAUUUUUAAUAUAUUUUAUUUUAUCAUUUGAUAUUUUUUAAGAAUUUUCUCUUUUCUGCCUAUUUUUAAUUCACUUUAAAUAGUUUUUGAUAUUCAAAAAAUACAAAAAUAUUUUUCCAACCUCUUUGAAUGAUGAUAGAUCUAUGAAAAAUAUUCUCAUC
This 309-nucleotide long non-coding RNA is filed under the name Lathyrus oleraceus (garden pea). RNAcentral describes it as "Pisum sativum (pea) long non-coding RNA (PSAT_LNC029124)". The record is from RNAcentral. Lineage: Eukaryota; Viridiplantae; Streptophyta; Magnoliopsida; Fabales; Fabaceae.